CAAUAGCGUAUAUUAAAGUUGUUGCGGUAAAAAAGCUCGUAGUUGGAUUUCUGUUGAGAGCGACCGGUCCAUACCAUGUAUGCGUAUCUGGCUUGCUCUCGGCAUCCUCUCGAUAGACGUUACUGCGCUUGAUUGCGUGGUGCGGAUCUCGGGACUUUUACUUUGAGGAAAUUAGAGUGUUCACGGCAGGCUUUCGCCAGAAUACAUUAGCAUGGAAUAAUACUAUAGGAUCUUGGUUCUAUUUUGUUGGUUUCUAGAAUUGAGAUAACGAUUAAUAGGGACAAUUGGGGGCAUUCGUAUCAACACGUCAGAGGUGGAAUUCUUGGAUUGUGUUGCGACGAACUACUGCGAAAGCAUUUGCCAAGGAUGUUUUCAUUGA
Molecule: ribosomal RNA, 379 nt
Filed under: uncultured eukaryote
Lineage: Eukaryota
Description: partial 18S ribosomal RNA
Rfam family: Eukaryotic small subunit ribosomal RNA
Source: RNAcentral